UACGUAGGGUGCAAGCGUUAAUCGGAAUUACUGGGCGUAAAGCGUGCGCAGGCGGUUUUGUAAGUCUGUCGUGAAAUCCCCGGGCUCAACCUGGGAACUGCGCUUGUUACUGGCAGGCUGGAGUGUGGCAGAGGGGGGUGGAAUUCCACGUGUAGCAGUGAAAUGCGUAGAGAUGUGGAGGAACACCGAUGGCGAAGGCAGCCCCCUGGGCUAACACUGACGCUCAUGCACGAAAGCGUGGGGAGCAAACAGG
This 253-nucleotide ribosomal RNA is filed under the name uncultured bacterium. RNAcentral's name for it is "partial 16S ribosomal RNA". It matches the Rfam family "Bacterial small subunit ribosomal RNA", at positions 524 to 776 of the family's 1533-position model. The record is from RNAcentral.